GCCAGACUCCUACGGGAGGCAGCAGUGGGGAAUAUUGCACCAUGGGCGCAAGCCUGCUGCAGCCAUGCCGCUUGUAUGACGCCGGCCUUCGGGUUUUCCCGUACUUUCAGCUUUGAGGAAGGUGUUGCGGUUAAUCCCCUCCGCAAUUGCCUUUCCCCGCAGACGCCGCCCCGGCUACCUCCUUGCCAGCAUCCUCGGUAAUACGUCGGUUUCAAGCGUUAAUCGGAAUUACUGGGCGUAAAGCGCACGCAGGCGGUCGGUCAAGUCGGAGGUGAAAUCCCCGGGCGCAACCUGGGAACUGCAUUCGAAACUGGCAGGCUUGAGUCUCGUAGAGGGGGGUAGAAUUCCAGGUGUAGCGGUGAAAUGCGUAGAGAUCGGGAGGAAUACCGGUGGCGAAGGCGGCCCCCUGGACGAAGACUGACGCUCAGGUGCGAAAGCGUGGGGAGCAAACAGGAUUAGAUACCCCCGUAU
This 471-nucleotide ribosomal RNA is filed under the name uncultured bacterium. Its description in RNAcentral is "bacterial SSU rRNA". It matches the Rfam family "Bacterial small subunit ribosomal RNA", at positions 330 to 793 of the family's 1533-position model. The record is from RNAcentral.